Molecule: transfer RNA, 76 nt
Filed under: Picea smithiana
Lineage: Eukaryota; Viridiplantae; Streptophyta; Pinopsida; Pinales; Pinaceae
Description: tRNA-fMet
Rfam family: tRNA
About the family: Transfer RNA (tRNA) molecules are approximately 80 nucleotides in length. Their secondary structure includes four short double-helical elements and three loops (D, anti-codon, and T loops).
Source: RNAcentral
AUAGCGGGGUAGAGUAAUUGGUCGACUCGUCAGGCCCAUGACCUGAAGACUGCAGGUUCGAACCCUGCCCCCGCCU